GGCCUAACACAUGCAAGUCGAACGCCCCGCAAGGGGAGUGGCAGACGGGUGAGUAACACGUGGGAACAUACCCUUCGGUUCGGAACAACGUUUGGAAACGAACGCUAAUACCGGAUACGGCCUAUGGGCGAAAGAUUGAUCGCCGAAGGAUUGGCCCGCGUUCGAUUAGCUUGAUGGUGAGGUAACGGCUCACCAUGGCGACGAUCGAUAGCUGGUCUGAGAGGAUGGCCAGCCACAUUGGGACUGAGACACGGCCCAAACUCCUACGGGAGGCAGCAGUGGGGAAUAUUGGACAAUGGGCGCAAGCCUGAUCCAGCCAUGCCGCGUGAGUGAUGACGGCCUUAGGGUUGUAAAGCUCUUUCGCACGCGACGAUAAUGACGGUAGCGUGAGAAGAAGCCCCGGCUAACUUCGUGCCAGCAGCCGCGGUAAUACGAAGGGGGCUAGCGUUGUUCGGAAUCACUGGGCGUAAAGGGUGCGUAGGCGGAUUCUUAAGUCAGGGGUGAAAUCCUGAGGCUCAACCUCGGAACUGCCUUUGAUACUGGGGAUCUUGAGUCCGGAAGAGGUGAGUGGAACUGCGAGUGUAGAGGUGAAAUUCGUAGAUAUUCGCAAGAACACCGGUGGCGAAGGCGGCUCACUGGUCCGGAACUGACGCUGAGGCACGACAGCGUGGGGAGCAAACAGGAUUAGAUACCCUGGUAGUCCACGCCGUAGACGAUGAAUGCCAGCCGUUGGGUGAUUUAUCACUGAGUGGCGCAGCUAACGCUUUGAGCAUUCCGCCUGGGGAGUACGGUCGCAAGAUUAAAACUCAAAGGAAUUGACGGGGGCCCGC
RNAcentral lists this ribosomal RNA (830 nucleotides) under uncultured Hyphomicrobiales bacterium. Its description in RNAcentral is "bacterial SSU rRNA". It matches the Rfam family "Bacterial small subunit ribosomal RNA", at positions 45 to 924 of the family's 1533-position model. The record is from RNAcentral. Lineage: Bacteria; Pseudomonadati; Pseudomonadota; Alphaproteobacteria; Hyphomicrobiales.